RNAcentral lists this ribosomal RNA (478 nucleotides) under uncultured bacterium. RNAcentral describes it as "partial 16S ribosomal RNA". It matches the Rfam family "Bacterial small subunit ribosomal RNA", at positions 28 to 523 of the family's 1533-position model. The record is from RNAcentral.
GACGAACGCUGGCGGCGUGCUUAACACAUGCAAGUCGAACGGUAAGGCCCUUCGGGGUACACGAGUGGCGAACGGGUGAGUAACACGUGGGUGAUCUGCCCUGCACUUCGGGAUAAGCCUGGGAAACUGGGUCUAAUACCGGAUAGGACCACUGCCUGCAUGGGUGGUGGUGGAAAGCUUUUGCGGUGUGGGAUGGGCCCGCGGCCUAUCAGCUUGUUGGUGGGGUGAUGGCCUACCAAGGCGACGACGGGUAGCCGGCCUGAGAGGGUGACCGGCCAACCUGGGUCUGGGGUGAGGGCCAGACUCCUACGGGAGGCAGCAGUGGGGAAUUUUGCACAAUGGGCGCAAGGCGGAUGCAGCGACGCCGCGUGAGGGAUGACGGCCUUCGGGUUGUAAACCUCUUUCAGCACCGACGAAGCGCAAGUGACGGUAGGUGCAGAAGAAGGACCGGCCAACUACGUGCCAGCCGCCGCCGUAA